GACGAACGCUGGCGGCGUGCUUAACACAUGCAAGUCGAACGGAAAGGCCCUGCUUUUGUGGGGUGCUCGAGUGGCGAACGGGUGAGUAACACGUGAGUAACCUGCCCUUGACUUUGGGAUAACUUCAGGAAACUGGGGCUAAUACCGGAUAGGAGCUCCUGCUGCAUGGUGGGGGUUGGAAAGUUUCGGCGGUUGGGGAUGGACUCGCGGCUUAUCAGCUUGUUGGUGGGGUAGUGGCUUACCAAGGCUUUGACGGGUAGCCGGCCUGAGAGGGUGACCGGCCACAUUGGGACUGAGAUACGGCCCAGACUCCUACGGGAGGCAGCAGUGGGGAAUAUUGCACAACGGGCGGAAGCCUGAUGCAGCAACGCCGCGUGCGGGAUGACGGCCUUCGGGUUGUAAACCGCUUUCGCCUGUGACGAAGCGUGAGUGACGGUAAUGGGUAAAGAAGCACCGGCUAACUACGU
RNAcentral lists this ribosomal RNA (467 nucleotides) under uncultured bacterium. RNAcentral describes it as "partial 16S ribosomal RNA". It matches the Rfam family "Bacterial small subunit ribosomal RNA", at positions 28 to 506 of the family's 1533-position model. The record is from RNAcentral.